GAUGAACGCUGGCGGCGUGCUUAACACAUGCAAGUCGAACGGUGAAAGAGGAGCUUGCUCCUCUGGAUCAGUGGCGAACGGGUGAGCAACACGUGAGUAACCUGCCCUUGACUCUGGGAUAAGCACUGGAAACGGUGUCUAAUACCGGAUACGACCUCCGAAGGCAUCUUCUGGAAGUGGAAAGAAUUUCGGUCAAGGAUGGACUCGCGGCCUAUCAGCAGUUGGUGAGGUAACGGCCCACCAAGGCGACGACGGGUAGCCGGCCUGAGAGGGUGACCGGCCACACUGGGACUGAGACACGGCCCAGACUCCUACGGGAGGCAGCAGUGGGGAAUAUUGCACAAUGGGCGCAAGCCUGAUGCAGCAACGCCGCGUGAGGGACGACGGCCUCGGUUG
RNAcentral lists this ribosomal RNA (396 nucleotides) under uncultured bacterium. Its description in RNAcentral is "bacterial SSU rRNA". It matches the Rfam family "Bacterial small subunit ribosomal RNA", at positions 28 to 425 of the family's 1533-position model. The record is from RNAcentral.